This 209-nucleotide ribosomal RNA is filed under the name uncultured bacterium. RNAcentral describes it as "partial 16S ribosomal RNA". It matches the Rfam family "Bacterial small subunit ribosomal RNA", at positions 524 to 731 of the family's 1533-position model. The record is from RNAcentral.
UACGUAGGUGGCAAGCGUUGUCCGGAAUUAUUGGGCGUAAAGCGCGCGCAGGUGGUUUCUUAAGUCUGAUGUGAAAGCCCACGGCUCAACCGUGGAGGGUCAUUGGAAACUGGGGAACUUGAGUGCAGAAGAGGAAAGUGGAAUUCCAAGUGUAGCGGUGAAAUGCGUAGAGAUUUGGAGGAACACCAGUGGCGAAGGCGAGCUUUCUG